RNAcentral lists this ribosomal RNA (407 nucleotides) under uncultured bacterium. RNAcentral describes it as "partial 16S ribosomal RNA". It matches the Rfam family "Bacterial small subunit ribosomal RNA", at positions 30 to 526 of the family's 1533-position model. The record is from RNAcentral.
AUUGAACGCUGGCGGCAGGCCUAACACAUGCAAGUCGAGCGGAGCGGCGGACGGGUAAGUAAUGCCUAGGAAUCUGCCUGGUAGUGGUGGAUAACGUCCGGAAACGGGCGCUAAUACCGCAUACUAUCAGAUGAGCCUAGGGCGGAUUAGCUAGUUGGUGGGGUAAAGGCCUACCAAGGCGACGAUCCGUAACUGGUCUGAGAGGAUGAUCAGGCACACUGGAACUGAGACACGGUCCAGACUACUACGGGAGGCAGCAGUGGGGAAGAUUGGACAAUGGGCUAAAGCCUGAUCCAGCCAUGCCGCGUGUGUUAAGAAGUUCUGCGGAUUGUAAAGCACUUUAAGUUGGGUGUCGUUACCAUCAGAAUAAGCACCGGCUAACUUCGUGCCAGCAGCCGCGGUAAUUC